Molecule: ribosomal RNA, 461 nt
Filed under: uncultured bacterium
Lineage: Bacteria
Description: partial 16S ribosomal RNA
Rfam family: Bacterial small subunit ribosomal RNA
Source: RNAcentral
GACGAACGCUGGCGGCGUGCUUAACACAUGCAAGUCGAACGGAAAGGCCCUUCGGGGUACUCGAGUGGCGAACGGGUGAGUAACACGUGGGUGAUCUGCCCUGCACUUUGGGAUAAGCCUGGGAAACUGGGUCUAAUACCGAAUAGGACCACGCGCUUCAUGGUGUGUGGUGGAAAGCUUUUGCGGUGUGGGAUGGGCCCGCGGCCUAUCAGCUUGUUGGUGGGGUAAUGGCCUACCAAGGCGACGACGGGUAGCCGGCCUGAGAGGGUGACCGGCCACACUGGGACUGAGAUACGGCCCAGACUCCUACGGGAGGCAGCAGUGGGGAAUAUUGCACAAGGGGCGCAAGCCGGAUGCAGCGACGCCGCGUGGGGGAUGACGGCCUUCGGGUUGUAAACCUCUUUCAAUAGGGACGAAGCGCAAGUGACGGUACCUAUAGAAGAAGCACCGGCCAACUACGU